GUCCACGCCCUAAACGAUGUCUACUAGUUGUUGGUGGAGUAAAUCCAUGAGUAACGCAGCUAACGCGUGAAGUAGACCGCCUGGGAGUACGGUCGCAAGAUUAAACUCAAAUGAAUUGACGGGGCCCGCACAAGCGGUGGAUUAUGUGGAUUAAUUCGAUGCAACGCGAAAACCUUACCUGGCCUUGACAUGUAACGAACUUUCCAGAGAUGGAUUGGUGCUCGAAAGAGAGCGUUAACACAGGUGCUGCAUGGCUGUCGU
Molecule: ribosomal RNA, 261 nt
Filed under: uncultured bacterium
Lineage: Bacteria
Description: partial 16S ribosomal RNA
Rfam family: Bacterial small subunit ribosomal RNA
Source: RNAcentral